AAAAAUUAAAUUAAAAAACAAUAACUGAAAAACGAACAUAAUUCAAAAACACAAAGGAAAAAUAAUAAUUAUUGCCACCCUGUGCUGCUGCCUCUCCAAUGCGCCUUGAUUUGUCUGCAAUUAUGCCGUUACAAUUACCUACCUGUCCGCGAGCACCAACACUUGACAUUACCAAGCAGUGAAAGCAACAACAUUUUUUUAUGCCAUUAUGUUAUAUAAAUAUGAUAAAAGAAAAAUAAAAUAAAAUUCAAAUUAAGUUGCUUAGUUACAAUCGCAUGGCCACGCGUCGAUGCGUUGUCACGUAAGUGAGCGAGCGAGAGCGAAAGGGAAAACGAGAGAGAGAGAGAGUAAAGAAGAAAUAAUGUAUAUGUAUAGCAAACGAAAAUGGUUGAAGAACUAAGGAAAUUAUAUGUAUUAAUACUAUUAAAAUGGUAAAAUAUA
Bactrocera latifrons is the source of this 441-nucleotide long non-coding RNA. RefSeq lists it as uncharacterized. The record is from RefSeq and is a predicted model, not a curated record. The transcript has 2 exons. NCBI's taxonomy places the organism in Eukaryota, Metazoa, Arthropoda, Insecta, Diptera, Tephritidae.